GACGAACGCUGGCGGCGUGCCUAACACAUGCAAGUCGAGCGAAUGAAGUUCCUUCGGGAAUGGAUUUAGCGGCGGACGGGUGAGUAACACGUGGGCAACCUGCCUCAUAGAGGGGAAUAGCCUUCCGAAAGGGAGAUUAAUACCGCAUAAGAUUGUAGUACCGCAUGAUACAGCAAUUAAAGGAGCAAUCCGCUAUGAGAUGGGCCCGCGGCGCAUUAGCUAGUUGGUGAGGUAACGGCUCACCAAGGCGACGAUGCGUAGCCGACCUGAGAGGGUGAUCGGCCACAUUGGGACUGAGACACGGCCCAGACUCCUACGGGAGGCAGCAGUGGGGAAUAUUGCACAAUGGGGGAAACCCUGAUGCAGCAACGCCGCGUGAGUGAUGACGGCCUUCGGGUUGUAAAGCUCUGUCUUCAGGGACGAUAAUGACGGUACCUGAGGAGGAAGCCACGGCUAACUACGUGCCAGCAGCCGCGGUAA
Molecule: ribosomal RNA, 480 nt
Filed under: uncultured bacterium
Lineage: Bacteria
Description: partial 16S ribosomal RNA
Rfam family: Bacterial small subunit ribosomal RNA
Source: RNAcentral